Long non-coding RNA from Cucumis melo (muskmelon), 1264 nucleotides. RefSeq lists it as uncharacterized. The transcript is spliced from 4 exons. The record is from RefSeq and is a predicted model, not a curated record. NCBI's taxonomy places the organism in Eukaryota, Viridiplantae, Streptophyta, Magnoliopsida, Cucurbitales, Cucurbitaceae.
GCCAAGAUUUUUGAAGACAUCCAACUUCCAUUUUUUGUUUUCUUUUUCCUUCUUCAAUUUGCAUAGAACUUCUAAGAGAGAGUUUGGAAGAAGAAGAGAAAUUUUACUAGAAUUUUGAGGUUGAAGAAGAGGAGGAGAACUCAAGCAAAGUGUAACCAUGGCUGAAUUUUAGUUCAUUCUGCACAUCACUGGUUUUUAAUUCGGUUUGAACACUUCAAAAGGAAUUAAGAGGGCAGUUGGUUUUCACUCGAAAUCAGGAGGUCUCUGGUUUUUCUUGUACUUCAGAGUGUAUCAGUGGAGUUAGAAUCUCUAUUUGGAACAAGUUAAAGAGGUCGUGUGCGCGCGAUUCUGGAAGUGGUUCUGUUUUGAGGGUUAUAUGUGUUUAUGCACGGGGAAUCAGAUUUAUAUAUCUUCAGGCCGAGAAGAAUUAAACCGAGCUUAUAGACCAAGGAUCUAGCCCAAGACUGUGAGUGACAAAACCAACUUUGAAAUAUUUUCCAUAACUGUUAUUAUGAUUGAAUGCGAUAAAUGUUUAUUUACGAAGCCAUGAAAGAUAUUUGAAUUUCAUGACUAUUUUCAAGUAUACAUUUGGAGACUAGAUUUCUUAAAGAAAUUUAUGCUAGCACGUAGAUAUUAAAUGUUUGGAAAGUAUUUAAACCACAAUAUUUUAAGCAAAGCAUGAAUUAGUAUGAAGUUUUGUUUUAAGAACUACAAUUUUCCACGAAAGAGCUGGGUAAAGUUCGAGCUUUGUGUAAAAUUUAUAAGCAGGCAUGUUUUAAUAUUUUAUGAUGAUUUAUGAAAUUUUCAUUAACUACAUGACUGAGAUCUUGAGCCUGAGGCUAGAGAUUACCGUGUGCACACUGGUUAGAUUUCGUUGUUGACGUUGAGUGUACUCCGUAACAACGAUGCUGUCGUGAGUGCUGGGCGGGCCCCACUACGACAAAGACGAUGGGAGUGCUGGGCGGGCCCCACUACAUCGUAGUGCUUGUAAACGUUGUUGUACUAGGUGUACCCUACACAACGUAGAUUCGUCAUGUUAGUUAAAAUGCUUCGAUAUACUUGAUAUGCCUUGCUAGAUUUCAAUGAUGAACAUGCUGAGUAUUUAAGGAAGCUAUUCUUACUAUUACACAUUUACAUUUACGACUUGUAUAAACAGAUUUAUAUGUGUAAAGUUUUCACGUGCUCUUAUCUUUAAAUUCAUAGUUUUAAACUGAGUCACUCACUGAGCUUCAUAGCUCACCCUUUCCAAAAUGUUUUACUCAUU